Long non-coding RNA from Rhinopithecus roxellana (golden snub-nosed monkey), 2770 nucleotides. RefSeq lists it as uncharacterized. The record is from RefSeq and is a predicted model, not a curated record. The transcript is spliced from 3 exons. Lineage: Eukaryota; Metazoa; Chordata; Mammalia; Primates; Cercopithecidae.
GUCUGUGAGCCGGGGCUGAGGCUACGGCCAUCCCCCGGGGCGGGGGAGGAAGAGUCUGGGGAGGGACCUGCUCUGGCACCCUCGGGGUGGCAGCCUGAAGAGGAGGUGGAGCCGCUGCCCCCGUCUAGUCUCAAGCCAGAGUCUAGGGAGACGGGGUGGAGGCAGCUGCUGAGCAGAUGCCCUGCAGCCUUUGCUGUGCUCCACGACCCAGUACCCCCUGUGGCCCCUCACCCUCAGCGUGGGUCGUGGCCUCCAUGGCCUCCAGUCUCUGCAGGUCCCGCAGCCGCUCCUCCAGCAGCCGCUUCUGCUGUUUCCGUUUGCGCCUCAUCUUCUUCCUCUUGUUUUUGGACAGCUUACCGGUCUGCUGUCAGAGCCAGGGUCACCCCAGAGUUCCUGUCGCCCACCCCAGUCAGCAUGAAGUGGAGGUUUCCCUGCAUGGCCACCAGGGAAGAGGCCUCUCCGGGCCCCAGGGCUCCCAUGGACACCAGAAUGUCCCUGCCUCCCCGCCUGUGGCCCCACUCCCCACAGCUCCAUUAGGAGUGGGAGGACCUGACUGGCCCGCCUCAGGGUGCUCUGUGUUCCCUCUCAGCCCAAGCUAAGGCAGCCGGAAGUGGCCACUCGGGAAAGACGGCAUCCUUUCACCAAGAGCAGUUUGGGGCAUUUGAACCAUCCCGGGAGUCACCCUCCGCCCAGCCACCCGGCCUUUCGGGAUGACCACUGUGGGAGUGCAUGAAGCAGGGAGUGAAGCCAGUGUGCUCCAGAGAUGGCCUCCAGUUGGCUCGGAUGGGAGAGGAGGCAUGGGAGAGAGGGGCCCCCCAACUUACCAAGACCUCCUGGGGGGCAGUGCUGACUGGGAGUGUAGGUGGGGAGCAGGAGACAGGGAGGAACAGAGACUCAGGCAAGGGUUCAGGCCCAGAGGCCCUGACCCAGCCCCAUGUGGACCCUUGGUACCUAUGGAGCGGGAAGGGGGCGGCGCCCCUGCCUGUUGCCACUCCGUGGCCUCGGCAGCCAGGCGCCUGAUGUAGGCGUCCCCCACACAUAGCAGGAUGUUCUCGGGCUUAAUGUCCGUGUGGAUGAUCUUGCACUUGGUAUGGAGGUAGUCCAGGCCAUGCAGCACCUGCGGAGGGUUGCACCUGACCUCCACGAACUCCCCCUCAGGCCAGGCUGGGCAGCCCAGUGGGUGGCACUCACCUGCCUCACGAUGCUCUUCACGCAGGGCACGGGCAGGCCCUGGUAGUUGGACUUGAUGAUCCAUUUGAGAAGCUGGUGGCCCAGCACCUCCAGCACCAUACACACAUCUAGGCCGGGAGUGAAGGGUGGACAGUAGACACCAGCUGCGGCUCAGGCCCCACCCACCCUCAGCUGGGGGAGCGGCAAGGCUUGGGCCAUGCGGAGGUGGGGAGGCAGGGCCUCCCCGGGGCAGUCCUGGUCACCAGUAUGCUGGUGUCAUCGAUAGUGUCCCUGUCGCUCUCAACAGGUAUGCCAGUUGGGAUGGUGCAUUUUGUGGUCAUCCUAGAGGUGGCGCUGGAGAAGCAGGCACAGAGGCCUCUCAGGCCAGCCCACUCCCAUGCCAGUUAUGCCAUAGGGCCUCUUGGCAGUCCCCCAAAGGGAAGGCAGCACCACAGAGGCAGCACCUGCUGUUUGGGGGUGACAGCAACGUCCACGGACAAUCAACGCUAGCUUAUUACUGCCUCCACGUAAACACAAUUACCUGGGGGUGGGGUCAUGCCAGAGGCUUGCGUUACUGGGAGGGAUGCAAGCCCACUGUGUGGAUCUGCAGACAGGCUCUAGCAGUGAGGGCCCCCCGUUUGCUGGCCCUUGGCUGCCACACUGCUUUGCUCUUCCUGCAAAGGAUACGGACUCCAUUGACUCCUGAGAUCCUGAAGUCAUCAAUGAGUUGGACAAUGGUCUCUCUUUUGGGGUCACUGGGGUCGCUGUCUCGGACCUGGAGUAAAAGCCAAGGGGCCACAGACAGUUCCACCCUGCCCUGAAGCCCACAGCUCCCUUCAGUGUAUCCCUCUUCUACUCCAGCUGGGCCCUGCUGGAAGAAAGGUCGCCAACCCCUCCUGUCCCUCGCCCGUUCCUCCAGAUCCUCCCCCUCUGGCACAGCCAGCUGGAGGCUGCCCCUCGGGGAGCCCCGCCCUGCCCCACAGAGCCCCAGCAGGCCCUGCACCCGCAUUGCCAGGUCCCAGGCAGCUCCAGGGGAGCUGGGAGUGGGUAGGGAGGUGCCUCACACAUUUCAGGAGCUUGAUCUCAUCCACAGCUGUCUCCGUGUAAUGUCCUGCACUCUUCACCACUUUCAGGGCCACAAAGCGCUUGCGCCUGCAAUACCGAGACCCUUGUAGGCUGUGGCCCUGGCAGGACCCACGGCAGGGAUCAGGGUGGCCCCAACCAAACCCAGGGACAGGAUCCCAGCCAGUGCUGGGCCCAGAAGGCGAAGGAGGCACUCACUGGAUGUCCCAGCAGAGCCAGACGGUGGAGAAGUGGCCCCAGCCCAGUUUGCGCACCACGUGGUACCGCCCAUUGAACAGCCCCUAGGACAAGUGGGAGCCCAGUGCCCUCUGAAUGUGGCGUUGCUGGGGACCCCUCAUUUCCCCUACCAGAGGCACCAGGCCUGCUGAGGGAAGGCCUGGGAGUUUGCGAGCCCAGAACCUGCUCCUGCGACCCUGCCUGGCACCCUGGCUCCCAGCACCUGCUCUUCUUCUCCACCAUUUGCAAGGUGUGGUGGCUAAUGCCUGUGAUCCCAGCAUUUUGGGAGGCUGAGGCGGGC